GAUGAACGCUGGCGGCGUGCCUAAUACAUACAAGUCGAGCGAACGGACGAGAAGCUUGCUUCUCUGAUGUUAGCGGCGGACGGGUGAGUAACACGUGGAUAACCUACCUAUAAGACUGGGAUAACUUCGGGAAACCGGAGCUAAUACCGGAUGAUAUUUUGAACCGCAUGGUUCAAAAGUGAAAGACGGUCUUGCUGUCACUUAUAGAUGGAUCCGCGCUGCAUUAGCUAGUUGGUAAGGUAACGGCUUACCAAGGCAACGAUGCAUAGCCGACCUGAGAGGGUGAUCGGCCACACUGGAACUGAGACACGGUCCAGACUCCUACGGGAGGCAGCAGUAGGGAAUCUUCCGCAAUGGGCGAAAGCCUGACGGAGCAACGCCGCGUGAGUGAUGAGGGUCUUCGGAUCGUAAAACUCUGUUAUUAGGGAAGAACAUAUGUGUAAGUAACUGUGCACAUCUUGACGGUACCUAAUCAGAAAGCCACGGCUAACUACGUGCCAGCAGCCGCGGUAAUACGUAGGUGGCAAGCGUUAUCCGGAAUUAUUGGGCGUAAAGCGCGCGUAGGCGGUUUUUUAAGUCUGAUGUGAAAGCCCACGGCUCAACCGUGGAGGGUCAUUGGAAACUGGAAAACUUGAGUGCAGAAGAGGAAAGUGGAAUUCCAUGUGUAGCGGUGAAAUACGCAGAGAUAUGGAGGAACACCAGUGGCGAAGGCGACUUUCUGGUCUGUAACUGACGCUGAUGUGCGAAAGCGUGGGGAUCAAACAGGAUUAGAUACCCUGGUAGUCCACGCCGUAAACGAUGAGUGCUAAGUGUUAGGGGGUUUCCGCCCCUUAGUGCUGCAGCUAACGCAUUAAGCACUCCGCCUGGGGAGUACGACCGCAAGGUUGAAACUCAAAGGAAUUGACGGGGACCCGCACAAGCGGUGGAGCAUGUGGUUUAAUUCGAAGCAACGCGAAGAACCUUACCAAAUCUUGACAUCCUUUGACAACUCUAGAGAUAGAGCCUUCCCCUUCGGGGGACAAAGUGACAGGUGGUGCAUGGUUGUCGUCAGCUCGUGUCGUGAGAUGUUGGGUUAAGCCCCGCAACGAGCGCAACCCUUAAGCUUAGUUGCCAUCAUUAAGUUGGGCACUCUAAGUUGACUGCCGGUGACAAACCGGAGGAAGGUGGGGAUGACGUCAAAUCAUCAUGCCCCUUAUGAUUUGGGCUACACACGUGCUACAAUGGACAAUACAAAGGGCAGCGAAACCGCGAGGUCAAGCAAAUCCCAUAAAGUUGUUCUCAGUUCGGAUUGUAGUCUGCAACUCGACUACAUGAAGCUGGAAUCGCUAGUAAUCGUAGAUCAGCAUGCUACGGUGAAUACGUUCCCGGGUCU
RNAcentral lists this ribosomal RNA (1372 nucleotides) under uncultured bacterium. Its description in RNAcentral is "bacterial SSU rRNA". It matches the Rfam family "Bacterial small subunit ribosomal RNA", at positions 28 to 1381 of the family's 1533-position model. The record is from RNAcentral.